Molecule: ribosomal RNA, 720 nt
Filed under: Philodina citrina
Lineage: Eukaryota; Metazoa; Rotifera; Eurotatoria; Philodinida; Philodinidae
Description: small rRNA
Source: RNAcentral
UUUUAGAUAGACUAAAACUUAUUAGUAAAAAAAUACAAAUUUAUUUUAUUUUUAUUUGAUUAAUAGCGUGCCAGCAAUUGCGGUUAUACGAAUAAAUUGAAUAUGUAAUAUUUAAAAACUUAACAAAGAAAAAUUUAAGGUUUAAAUUUUUUUUUUAUGUUUAAUUUAAAUUACAAUAGGAUUAGAUACCCUAGUAAGUAAUAAAAUGAGUAAAUAAAAAAUUUUUUUAUUGGCGGUUUAAUUAUAAUAAAGAAACUUGUGAAUUAAAUAAAUACCGCAUUAAAUGUAGUAUUAAAAUUAUUUAAUUUUGUAUGUUCGAUGAAAAUUUAUAAUCUUUGUUUAUUCAGAUACACAUAAAUUAUUUUUUAAGUUUUAUGAGUUGCAAGACUACUACUAAGGAUAAUUUUGAGGAUGAAUUUAUUAGUAAAUUAAUAAAAUAAUUGAAUAAUUUUUUAAAAGUACAUAUCGCCCGUCAGCUUUAAUUCAAAGUAAGUCGUAACAUAGUGUAUUCAUUGGAAAAUGGAUAUAAUGAUAUUUUGAGGUAAUUUAUCUUUACAGGAUGCUUUAAGAGUAACAAUAGAGCAAAUUGUUUAUUUUCAUGAUUAUUUAAUAAUAGUUAUAGCUAUUAUUUUAAGGGUAGUAGGUUAAUUUUUUAAUUUUUGUAUUAAUAACUAAAACUUAUUCUAGAAGAAUUGUAGCUGAUCAUUUAGUAGAAAGAGU